UAAGAGUUAUCAUAAUGUAUUGAGGAUGAAUCAUUGCUCUUCUAUUGUUGUUCAUUUCUAAUUAGAUGCUGUAUAUCACCCUUGGUUUAAAUGUGCAGUUCCCUGCGGAAUCUCAUGCCCCAGAUUGAGAGCAUAUUUGGUCUAAUCCAGCUCCCUUUGAAAUCUAUGAGUGGAAAACCACACGAUCAGCUUGCAAAGCCGGCAUGCCAUAGAAAGAGAGGCAGAUGCUACAGGAAUAAAAGGAAAAGAAACCUGACAUGGAUGCAAAAACGAGGUCUGAAUUCCCCAGUGAGAAUAAUGAGAGGGAAUGCUGGGAGAGAAGAAUGCAAUUGUAUUAGGCUCCAUCACAAUGGGAGAAUCAUAGAGUCGUAGAAUCGUAGAGUUGGAAGGAUUUGUUCCUGCAGAUGUAGUGGAGCAAAAAACAACAACAACUUCUCAAAACACACUUGACACUUUUUAAAGGAGUCCUUUCACACUUCACAACAUGGGAAUGUGGCGCAAAUUAUUUUUUAUUUUCUUUAUUAAAUGUCUGUACCGCCCUUCAUCCAAGGAUCACAGGGCGGUUCAUAAUAUAAAAUGAAUCAGCUGAAGCAAUCUGGUUCCUGCCUGUGUGUUUGCACUGCGUCACGCCUUGUCCUCAUGGUAAGCAGCAACAAUUCACCCACCAGGAGGUCAGGUAAGUGCCUCCAUCCCACCAUCCUCUCUGCUGCUAGCUGUGGUGUCAUCCUAGAAAUUCUAUUGCUUGUUACACUGUAGUAUUUUUGACACAGCUGGUGGUACCUACAACGUUUUGCUGUAGAUGAGUUCCCCAAAUCAACCAUGAAUGCAGAAAGAACUGCGGUGCCGUAAAACAAACGGCAAGAGCCAUACUAAGAAAUUGCAUUUUCCUGCAGCAGUGCCACUGUAAAUUCUUUUAUCAGUUCCCCUGUUAAUUAGAAUUGCUGUGUGUUGUCUAACAAUAGAAGAUUUCAUUAUGCCUUCUUCAGUAAUUAUAUAUUUUAACUAUAAAGUAUAGCCUAUAAAUAUCAGACAAAAACAAGCACCACCACCUUCUUUGGGUACAGUUAAGGUUGUAAAUAGACAUCCCUUUAGAACAAAACUACACGGUGUGAAAAACUGAAGCCAGCUACCAGCUUUGGCUACUGAGGUGAAGUUUAAAAGUUAUCCUUACUACAUUGUGAUGUGCUGGUAUAGGAAAUGAGCUGUAAUGUUGGUUGGCACAUGUUUUGUUUGCCCUAGGUGAGUCUUCUGUAAUGUACUUUCCUUCCCUGUUGUUAGUGACUUUCUUUAGAAACCCCCCUGGGAUAGAUAUCACAUCAACAAUACUUAGCAAUAAAAUGGAAGUCAAGGCUUCUGUUUCUGUAGAGCAGAGGUACGGUCCAGAUAUUGUUGGACUCCAACUCCCAUCAGCCUCAGUCUGCAUGGCCAUUGGUCAUGGACAGAGACAAUGGUAAUUGUUGUCCAACCCCCAGAGGGUUCCAUAGUGGUUACCCCGGCCAUAGUGUCUGCCCUUUACAAAUAUGGCCACUCUGUUCUGGCAGAGUCCCUCUGUGCCAGUACCUUGACUGAAACCAUAGAGAAGAAGAAAGCUAGACUGUCUCCACAUUACCAGCGGCGGAGGAAGCGGCUUGGGUGCCUGGGGCAGCACGCCCAGGAGCAGAGCGAGCCACCCAUAGGGCCGGGGCCUCCUUCCACUCAGCCUGCCUCCUCCCACUCAGCCGCCCUACAGCUGGGGGGGAGGGGA
This is a long non-coding RNA of Podarcis muralis (Common wall lizard), 1744 nucleotides long. RefSeq lists it as uncharacterized. Lineage: Eukaryota; Metazoa; Chordata; Lepidosauria; Squamata; Lacertidae. The record is from RefSeq and is a predicted model, not a curated record.